AGAUGGGAGCUUGCUCCCUGAUGUUAGCGGCGGACGGGUGAGUAACACGUGGGUAACCUGCCUGUAAGACUGGGAUAACUCCGGGAAACCGGGGCUAAUACCGGAUGGUUGUUUGAACCGCAUGGUUCAGACAUAAAAGGUGGCUUCGGCUACCACUUACAGAUGGACCCGCGGCGCAUUAGCUAGUUGGUGAGGUAACGGCUCACCAAGGCGACGAUGCGUAGCCGACCUGAGAGGGUGAUCGGCCACACUGGGACUGAGACACGGCCCCAGACUCCUACGGGAGGCAGCAGUAGGGAAUCUUCCGCAAUGGACGAAAGUCUGACGGAGCAACGCCGCGUGAGUGAUGAAGGUUUUCGGAUCGUAAAGCUCUGUUGUUAGGGAAGAACAAGUGCCGUUCAAAUAGGGCGGCACCUUGACGGUACCUAACCAGAAAGCCACGGCUAACUACGUGCCAGCAGCCGCGGUAAUACGUAGGUGGCAAGCGUUGUCCGGAAUUAUUGGGCGUAAAGGGCUCGCAGGCGGUUUCUUAAGUCUGAUGUGAAAGCCCCCGGCUCAACCGGGGAGGGUCAUUGGAAACUGGGGAACUUGAGUGCAGAAGAGGAGAGUGGAAUUCCACGUGUAGCGGUGAAAUGCGUAGAGAUGUGGAGGAACACCAGUGGCGAAGGCGACUCUCUGGUCUGUAACUGACGCUGAGGAGCGAAAGCGUGGGGAGCGAACAGGAUUAGAUACCCUGGUAGUCCACGCCGUAAACGAUGAGUGCUAAGUGUUAGGGGGUUUCCGCCCCUUAGUGCUGCAGCUAACGCAUUAAGCACUCCGCCUGGGGAGUACGGUCGCAAGACUGAAACUCAAAGGAAUUGACGGGGGCCCGCACAAGCGGUGGAGCAUGUGGUUUAAUUCGAAGCAACGCGAAGAACCUUACCAGGUCUUGACAUCCUCUGACAAUCCUAGAGAUAGGACGUCCCCUUCGGGGGCAGAGUGACAGGUGGUGCAUGGUUGUCGUCAGCUCGUGUCGUGAGAUGUUGGGUUAAGUCCCGCAACGAGCGCAACCCUUGAUCUUAGUUGCCAGCAUUCAGUUGGGCACUCUAAGGUGACUGCCGGUGACAAACCGGAGGAAGGUGGGGAUGACGUCAAAUCAUCAUGCCCCUUAUGACCUGGGCUACACACGUGCUACAAUGGACAGAACAAAGGGCAGCGAAACCGCGAGGUUAAGCCAAUCCCACAAAUCUGUUCUCAGUUCGGAUCGCAGUCUGCAACUCGACUGCGUGAAGCUGGAAUCGCUAGUAAUCGCGGAUCAGCAUGCCGCGGUGAAUACGUUCCCGGGCC
RNAcentral lists this ribosomal RNA (1326 nucleotides) under Bacillus amyloliquefaciens. RNAcentral's name for it is "bacterial SSU rRNA". It matches the Rfam family "Bacterial small subunit ribosomal RNA", at positions 70 to 1380 of the family's 1533-position model. The record is from RNAcentral. Lineage: Bacteria; Bacillati; Bacillota; Bacilli; Caryophanales; Bacillaceae.